AUGCGUCUCUGGUAUCUCCGUCCUCCAGCCGCGCCCGAGGGAGCUCCCCGAAGCCGGCGCUGUGUUCCUCCAGCACCACCACCAGGCUGCCCUGUCCUUCCCCUUGCGCAGGAGCUCGCAGCCACUACCAUGGCGCGUCUUGCUACUCCCCCCAGCACCCCAAUCCUUCCCUUCUACUCCCUCAGUCAUGGCACUUCGCCGCUCUUUUGCUCACCCGCCUUGCCUCGCGCGACCUGCAUGGCCGCCGGCCAUGGAUGCCAUCGUGCUAGCCUGCAGCUUCGAGUGCGCUGCUGUGCCUUGCUGCUCCUGCUUUGUACGACAGCGGAUGACCUCCGUCGAGCUCGCCCGGCCACCUUCGACCUCGGCAUGGCCCUGCCUCCACUACCAGUCUCCUGUUGUCGGCCGUUUCCAUGGGUUCGGGGAGCCCCAAGUCAUGUCCGUGGCCUUCGUGUCUAUUGA
Molecule: ribosomal RNA, 459 nt
Filed under: Triticum aestivum (bread wheat)
Lineage: Eukaryota; Viridiplantae; Streptophyta; Magnoliopsida; Poales; Poaceae
Description: partial small subunit ribosomal RNA
Source: RNAcentral